AAAAAUAUAAUUAUAUAUAUAUAUUAAAGUAGUAUUAGUUAAGUUCUUGAAAUUUAAAAAUUUUGGCGGUAUUUUAGUCUAUUCAGAGGAACCUGUUUUGUAAUCGAUAGUCCACGUUGUACCUUACUUAAAUUAGUUUAAGUUUAUAUAUCGUUGUUUAUUGAAUAUUUUAUAAAAAUAAUAAUUUUCAUAAUUUUUUAUAUAAAAAUAUAUCAGAUCAAGAUGUAGCUUAUAUUUAAGUUUAUAAUGGGUUACAAUAAAAUUAUUUUUGGAUAUAAAUUAUAAUUGAUUUAUUGAAAUUGGAUUUGAUAGUAAAUUUAUAUAGAUAAAUAAAUUGAUUUUAGCUCUAAAAUAUG
RNAcentral lists this ribosomal RNA (356 nucleotides) under Cephalosphaera parthenopipis. RNAcentral describes it as "partial 12S ribosomal RNA". The record is from RNAcentral. Lineage: Eukaryota; Metazoa; Arthropoda; Insecta; Diptera; Pipunculidae.